RNAcentral lists this unclassified non-coding RNA (240 nucleotides) under soil metagenome. Its description in RNAcentral is "partial contains 5.8S ribosomal RNA, internal transcribed spacer 2, and large subunit ribosomal RNA". The record is from RNAcentral.
AAGACUAUAGACCUGCGGAGUACCUGCGGAGGGAUCAUUCAUGGAUUCUUGUGUAGAUGGCCUUGUCUUGUCAGACGGGCCUAAACACUUUUUUACACCUAACCAAUCUAUGUGGGCUCGGUGCUUAUGGGGUGCGCGGCCACGGAAUAUGCUUCCGUGGCUUCGAUCCCGGUGCAGAGCCGGUCAAACUGGCUGAAAUCAGCAGCAGCCCUCAGUUUGGGGGCAGCAGUGAGAGUAAUA